RNAcentral lists this non-coding RNA (114 nucleotides) under human gut metagenome. RNAcentral's name for it is "FMN riboswitch (RFN element)". It matches the Rfam family "FMN riboswitch aptamer (RFN element)". Rfam says of the family: The RFN element is a highly conserved domain that is found frequently in the 5'-untranslated regions of prokaryotic mRNAs that encode for flavin mononucleotide (FMN) biosynthesis and transport proteins. This element is a metabolite-dependent riboswitch that directly binds FMN in the absence of proteins. The record is from RNAcentral.
AUCUUCGGGGCAGGGUGAAAUUCCCUACCGGCGGUUAUAGCCCGCGAGCUACCUUGUGUAGCAUGAUUUGGUGAGAUUCCAAAGCCGACAGUAAAGUCUGGAUGAGAGAAGAUG